AUACCUGGUUGAUCCUGCCAGUGGUUAUAUGCUUGUUCUAAGGAUUAAGCCAUGCAUGUCUAAGUGCAAACGAUUUUGUACAGUAGAACUGCGAAUGGCUCAUUACAACAGUUAUAGUUUAUUUGAUCGUACGGUAGAAAAGAAACUACGUGGAUAACCGUAGGAAACUACAGCUAAUACAUGCUCCAUCGCUUUUUUUAUAUAUAUUUGUUUUUUUUAUCUGUAAAAGCGGGAUUUAUUAGAUCAAAAACCAGCUAUCGAGAGAAGUCUAUCCUGUACUAAUCUUGGUAUGGUUUGUGAGGUGAAUCAUAAUAACUUUUCCAAAUCGCAAGGCUUUUUUUGUGUUUAAGAAAAAUCAAGGAAGCCGGCGAUAAAUCAUUCAAAUUUCUGCCCUAUCAACUUUCGACGGUAGGGUAGUGGCCUACCGUGGUGUUGACGGGUAACGGAGAAUUAGGGUUCGAUUCCGGAGAGGGAGCCUGAGAGAUGGCUACCACAUCCAAGGAAGGCAGCAGGCGCGCAAAUUACCCAAUCCUGAUUCAGGGAGGUAGCGACAGAAAAUAACGAUCGUAGGCCUUUUUUUUAGGGUUAUUGAUUGGAAUGAGGAUAGUUUACACCCCUUCACGAGGAUCCAUUGGAGGGCAAGUCUGGUGCCAGCAGCCGCGGUAAUUCCAGCUCCAAUAGCGUAUACUAAAGUUGUUGCAGUUAAAAAGCUCGUAGUCGAAUCUUGACAUUUUUAUGAAAAAGUUUGCGUAUUUCUCAUUCUGAUUGUAUCGAAUACAAUCGGAGUGAAGGGAAUAUGCUUCUUUUUUUUUUUUAAAAAAAAUAAGAAAUUUCUUUGUUGUUUUUUCUUCUUUUGAUGAAAGAAGAAAAAACUUUUUUUUACCGUGAGCAAAAUAUGGUGUUCAUGGCAGGCAUUUUUUUGUUGCUUAUAUAUUUUAGCAUGGAAUAAUAGAAUAAGACGUUUGGUUUUAUUUUUUGUUGGAAAAAGACGCAUAUGAUAUAUGCGUCUUUUUUAGAGCCAAAGUAAUGAUUAAUAGGAAUAGUUGGGGGCAUUCGUAUUCCGUAGCUAGAGGUGAAAUUCUUGGAUUUACGGAAGACGAACGACUGCGAAAGCAUUUGCCAAGGAUGUUUUCAUUGAUCAAGAACGAAAGUUAAGGGAUCGAAGACGAUUAGAUACCGUCGUAGUCUUAACUAUAAACUAUGCCGACUAGAGAUUGGUAGAUGUAUUAAUACGACUCUAUCAGUAUCUUUAUGAGAAAUCAAAGUCUCUGGGUUCUGGGGGGAGUAUGGUCGCAAGGCUGAAACUUAAAGGAAUUGACGGAAGGGCACCACCAGGCGUGGAGCUUGCGGCUUAAUUUGACUCAACACGGGGAAACUUACCAGGUCCGGACAUAGGAAGGAUUGACAGAUUGAGAGCUCUUUCUUGAUUCUAUGAGUGGUGGUGCAUGGCCGUUCUUAGUUGGUGGAGUGAUUUGUCUGGUUAAUUCCGUUAACGAACGAGACCUUAACUUACUAAUUAAGCGUUUUUUUUCACAUAUAGUUUAAUAUGCUAUAUCGUGGGGAUUUAUGUUCUUUUUUUAGAAGGACGAUUUGCGAAUAGCAAAUGGAAGAAUAAGGCAAUAACAGGUCUGUGAUGCCCUUAGAUGUUCUGGGCCGCACGCGCGCUACAAUGAUGCAAACAACGAGUUUUGUUUCUGGAUCGAAAGGUUUGGGGAAUCUUGUAAUCUGCAUCGUGAUAGGGAUAGACGAUUGGAAUUAUUUGUCUUGAACGAGGAAUGCCUUGUAAGCGUGAGUCAUCAACUCGCGCUGAAUACGUCCCUGCCCUUUGUACACACCGCCCGUCGCUCCUACUGAUUGGAUGAUCCGGUGAAAUGUUCUUGGUACGCUUUUUUUUUUAUCUGUUUAUCGAAAAGGAAUGCAGUUUUGUGGUUGCAAAAAUGUGUAUUUUUUGGCAAGCUGAGAGAAAAAAAGGAGGAAAAGUUCAGUGAACCUUAUCAUCUAGAGGAAGGAGAAGUCGUAACAAGGUUUCCGUAGGUGAACCUGCGGAAGGAU
RNAcentral lists this ribosomal RNA (2052 nucleotides) under Cryptomonas paramaecium. RNAcentral's name for it is "Cryptomonas paramecium 18S ribosomal RNA". It matches the Rfam family "Eukaryotic small subunit ribosomal RNA". The record is from RNAcentral. Lineage: Eukaryota; Cryptophyceae; Cryptomonadales; Cryptomonadaceae.